AUUGAACGCUGGCGGCAUGCCUUACACAUGCAAGUCGAACGGCAGCACGGGUGCUUGCACCUGGUGGCGAGUGGCGAACGGGUGAGUAAUACAUCGGAACAUGUCCUGUAGUGGGGGAUAGCCCGGCGAAAGCCGGAUUAAUACCGCAUACGAUCUACGGAUGAAAGCGGGGGACCUUCGGGCCUCGCGCUAUAGGGUUGGCCGAUGGCUGAUUAGCUAGUUGGUGGGGUAAAGGCCUACCAAGGCGACGAUCAGUAGCUGGUCUGAGAGGACGACCAGCCACACUGGGACUGAGACACGGCCCAGACUCCUACGGGAGGCAGCAGUGGGGAAUUUUGGGCAAUGGGCGAAAGCCUGAUCCAGCAAUGCCGCGUGUGUGAAGAAGGCCUUCGGGUUGUAAAGCACUUUUGUCCGGAAAGAAAUCCUUGGCUCUAAUACAGUCGGGGGAUGACGGUACCGGAAGAAUAAGCACCGGCUAACUACGUG
RNAcentral lists this ribosomal RNA (486 nucleotides) under uncultured bacterium. Its description in RNAcentral is "partial 16S ribosomal RNA". It matches the Rfam family "Bacterial small subunit ribosomal RNA", at positions 30 to 507 of the family's 1533-position model. The record is from RNAcentral.